UGCUAGAUGAAGUUUGCAACAAA
RNAcentral lists this microRNA (23 nucleotides) under Nematostella vectensis (starlet sea anemone). RNAcentral describes it as "nve-miR-9452". Lineage: Eukaryota; Metazoa; Cnidaria; Anthozoa; Actiniaria; Edwardsiidae. The record is from miRBase by way of RNAcentral.